ACAUCAGUAGUUUAGUGGUAAAAUUCAUCGUCACCAUCGAUAGGCUCCGCGUUCGAUUCGCGGCUGAUGCG
This 71-nucleotide transfer RNA is filed under the name Hypoxylon rubiginosum. RNAcentral's name for it is "tRNA-Gly". It matches the Rfam family "tRNA". From Rfam's summary of the family: Transfer RNA (tRNA) molecules are approximately 80 nucleotides in length. Their secondary structure includes four short double-helical elements and three loops (D, anti-codon, and T loops). Further hydrogen bonds mediate the characteristic L-shaped molecular structure. tRNAs have two regions of fundamental functional importance: the anti-codon, which is responsible for specific mRNA codon recognition, and the 3' end, to which the tRNAs corresponding amino acid is attached (by aminoacyl-tRNA synthetases). tRNAs cope with the degeneracy of the genetic code in two manners: having more than one tRNA (with a specific anti-codon) for a particular amino acid; and 'wobble' base-pairing, i.e. permitting non-standard base-pairing at the 3rd anti-codon position. The record is from RNAcentral. Lineage: Eukaryota; Fungi; Ascomycota; Sordariomycetes; Xylariales; Hypoxylaceae.